AAUAUACUCCUUCUUUCCGAAAAUACUUAUCGGAGAAAAAGAAAUAUCUAGAUGUGUUUUAGUUUUUAGAUACAUUCAUUUUUAUCCAUUUCUCCAAUAAAUAUUUUCGAAGGGAGGGAGUAUAUA
This 126-nucleotide microRNA precursor is filed under the name Hordeum vulgare. RNAcentral's name for it is "microRNA MIR1122". It matches the Rfam family "MIR1120/MIR1122 microRNA precursor family". The record is from RNAcentral. Lineage: Eukaryota; Viridiplantae; Streptophyta; Magnoliopsida; Poales; Poaceae.